ACUCACAUAAAAUGUGCAAAGUUUCUAUUAAAUAAUUGAAGAAAUGAAUUUUCUAUAAAACUACAAGUAUUUAUGGCUAUCUGAAAAAAUACAAGAAGUUGUAUUUCAAAUGGUUUAAAUGGAAUUAAUGAGUUUUCAUACAUAUAAAAUAUGUUAAUGGUGUUGCAAUUAGUGUGAUUAUUAAUGUGAAUGCUGCAAUUCCUAAUAGGAAGUGUUGUUCUUUAAGGAUUUUUUUUUUUUCCGAUUCUUUAAGGAAUGGUCCAUUUGCUUACUGCUAAAGUUGGAUUAUUUGAUAAAAGACGAAGGAGAUACCGAGUUUUAGUAAAUUUACAUGUUCUACUAUUUGACAAAACAUUCAAUUCUAACCAAGGAGAGACCAUAAAGAAUUCUUUCAUUGGGAAAAAAAAUAGACACAUUGACAAACUAUUUUACUUUGGGGAGGUUUCUAACUAGUUAUAUAUCAUAUAUCUUGAAUACAUAGUAGAUUUGAUGUUAUGUAUAUUUUUUAAUGAAAAAUAUCUUUUAAUGAAAAAAGAGAGCGUAAAAUGGUUAGCAAAAUCAUCGAUUUCCAUUUUUUCUCCUUUUUUUCUAUGAACGUUUUAAAAAUAAAAACACCCAAACUAUAAACAUUUCCAUUUCCAUUUAUACAUCAAUCUCUAUUUCAUCCUUUAUAUACCUUUUAUGAUAUCUAAUGCCCAAAAUUUAUCCCUCCCUCUUUCCCUUUCUCAUUAUCGCGCUUCCUCUCUGCUUAGCAUUGUAGAAAGCCUAUAAAAUCCCUACUCUCACCAUUGAGAGAAAAGAAUAAAAUUUUCUUUCAACUAGAUGUCAUUUUUUCUUUACUAAUUCUACUCCAAAUCUUGAUAUGUUGAUUAGUGAUGAUGAUGAAUUUGUGGUUUUAAAUGGUAGGAGAUACGUAGAGUGUUUUAAGAUGGGUUUUUAUUUUUCUCUAAAUCCUUGCAAUGAAACUAGAUGCCAAGAUUGAGGAGCUCUGAGUAUUUGACAUUUAUGUUAGUGGAAUUAUGGAGCUUUUUGAGAUGAGUUUCUAUGGUGGGAAUUUGGUGGCCAUGGUUCACAAGAAAACCAAUAUAGCAUAAUGGUGAUGGACAAAAGGCAAGGGGAUGGCAUUUAGUAUAAAGAUCGUAUAUGUCAAAAUAAAACAGCUUAUUAAAAAUUAUAAAUCAAAAGUGAAAAUAUUUUGACGUUUUAAAAGCAAAGAGUGAUAGGCAUUACAUACUUGUAGACUCUAGAAAGGGUUGAUAUGCACAAUCUUACUUAUAAUUUUUUGAAAGGCCUAUUUCCCUAACUUGAACUCGUGAUUUAAGUUGCAAAUAGAUAGCUUUACACUAAAGUGUUAUGAUCCCACUUUGCUUAGGGACAACCCUGAUGAGAGGUUAAUAAAUUCUUAAGCAUCUUUCUUUUGCAAGUCAAUUUUAAGGGGUGAGUUCUAUCAAUCAUUGAUGGGAACCACAUAAGAAACAAGCUACCUAGGUGGAACUCACCCUUGAAAAGUCGACUUGUAAAAGGAGGUUGAGUGCUAGGGUUGACUUUGAUACUAUUGACAUGGACUAAAAUUUGGAAAGAGGAAAAACCAAAAGUGGAUGUUGAUAGAAAGAAAUUCCAUAGAGAAGUCUGCAGUUCAUUCAUUGAUUAUAGAAUUACCAAAAUCAAUUUAUUCUGUUAUUUAUUCAAUUACAACAAGAACAAAUGCAGUUGAUCAUCUGCCACCACUUACGCUAAAGCUUACAUGUAUUUGCCUUAGCUACUAAGCUAGCUCAAUAGCUACCACGGUCUUCAUCUCCCUCUUAAUGCUGAUAACAACCAACUGUAAUAACCAACUGUAAUAGCCAACUAUUGAAUAUAACGCAUAUCACAAAGGCACCUUCAAGUUUUUAAAAACAGAAAGCAUAGAAAGCACAAAAUACAUAUGGCUUAUUUGUUAAUGAAAAAUACUUUUUUAUUUUUUAUUUUUCACUUUUACUAAGAAAUGUUUCUUUUCAUUUUCUAUAAGAAGCCUAGACUACAUGUAGAAAAUUAAGUUUCAAUUUUAAAAGGGCAAAAAACUUUUCUUGGGGGUAAUUGAACAAAAAAGGCUAAAUCUUUUUGUCAAUAGGCAAUUAUAUUCAAACGUUUUGAUUUUGGACUACGUAUCCCAAACAUUAAGAUUGGAGCAAUUGUAUCCAAACCUAAAAAUCAUUUUGUGGAAAUUUGAUUGUUGUCAACAUGGAAUGAUUUUUUGAAGCUUUAUAUUGAAUUUAAAAAUGAUGGUGUAGAAGUAAUUUAAUAGCCAAGAUAAAGAAUUGCUCAAAUAUAUUAUAAGGCUUGGAUACAAUAUUUCCCAUAUUAAAGUUUGGGAUAUGUUUUGUAAAAUUAUGUUACGAACCACAUUCCUUUGGGAACAACUUUGGUGAGAGGCUAAUAAAUCUCUAAGCACCCUUUAUUUGUAAACUGGUUUUCAGAAAUGAAAUCUAUCUAACUAACUUGUUCCU
RNAcentral lists this unclassified non-coding RNA (2486 nucleotides) under Hevea brasiliensis (rubber tree). Lineage: Eukaryota; Viridiplantae; Streptophyta; Magnoliopsida; Malpighiales; Euphorbiaceae. The record is from RNAcentral.